UUUCCUGUGGCUCAGUUGGUAGAGUGUUGCGCUAAAAUCGUGAGGGUUGUGAGUUCAAAUGUAAGUCGCUUUGGAUAA
This is a non-coding RNA of Danionella cerebrum, 78 nucleotides long. The record is from the annotation of a GenBank genome assembly. Lineage: Eukaryota; Metazoa; Chordata; Actinopteri; Cypriniformes; Danionidae.